RNAcentral lists this ribosomal RNA (253 nucleotides) under uncultured bacterium. RNAcentral's name for it is "partial 16S ribosomal RNA". It matches the Rfam family "Bacterial small subunit ribosomal RNA", at positions 524 to 776 of the family's 1533-position model. The record is from RNAcentral.
UACAGAGGUGGCAAGCGUUGUUCGGAAUUACUGGGCGUAAAGGGCGCGUAGGCGGCCAACUAAGUCGAACGUGAAAUCCCCGGGCUCAACCCGGGAACUGCGUCCGAUACUGGUUGGCUUGAAUCCGGGAGAGGGAUGCGGAAUUCCAGGUGUAGCGGUGAAAUGCGUAGAUAUUCGGAAGAACACCAGUGGCGAAGGCGACUUACUGGACACAUAUUGACGCUGAGGUGCGAAAGCGUGGGGAGCAAACAGG